RNAcentral lists this unclassified non-coding RNA (352 nucleotides) under soil metagenome. RNAcentral describes it as "partial contains 5.8S ribosomal RNA, internal transcribed spacer 2, and large subunit ribosomal RNA". The stretch from base 1 to 119 matches the Rfam family "5.8S ribosomal RNA", at positions 35 to 154 of the family's 154-position model. The record is from RNAcentral.
GAUGAAGAACGCAGCGAAAUGCGAUAAGUAAUGUGAAUUGCAGAAUUCAGUGAAUCAUCGAAUCUUUGAACGCACAUGCGCCCGCCAGUAUUCUGGCGGGCAUGCCUGUUCGAGCGUCAUUACAACCCUCAGGCCCCCGGGCCUGGCGUUGGGGAUCGGCGGAAGCCCCCUGCGGGCACAACGCCGUCCCCCAAAUACAGUGGCGGUCCCGCCGCAGCUUCCAUUGCGUAGUAGCUAACACCUCGCAACUGGAGAGCGGCGCGGCCACGCCGUAAAACACCCAACUUCUGAAUGUUGACCUCGAAUCAGGUAGGAAUACCCGCUGAACUUAAGCAUAUCAAUAAGCGGAGGA